This 427-nucleotide ribosomal RNA is filed under the name uncultured bacterium. RNAcentral's name for it is "partial 16S ribosomal RNA". It matches the Rfam family "Bacterial small subunit ribosomal RNA", at positions 355 to 774 of the family's 1533-position model. The record is from RNAcentral.
UGGGGAAUAUUGCACAAUGGGCGCAAGCCUGAUGCAGCCAUGCCGCGUGUAUGAAGAAGGCCUUCGGGUUGUAAAGUACUUUCAGCGGGGAGGAAGGUGUUGAGGUUAAUAACCUCAGCAAUUGACGUUACCCGCAGAAGAAGCACCGACUAACUCCGUGCCAGCAGCCGCGGUAAUACGGAGGGGGCAAGCGUUAAUCGGAAUUACUGGGCGUAAAGCGCACGCAGGCGGUCUGUCAAGUCGGAUGUGAAAUCCCCGGGCUCAACCUGGGAACUGCAUUCGAAACUGGCAGGCUAGAGUCUUGUAGAGGGGGGUAGAAUUCCAGGUGUAGCGGUGAAAUGCGUAGAGAUCUGGAGGAAUACCGGUGGCGAAGGCGGCCCCCUGGACAAAGACUGACGCUCAGGUGCGAAAGCGUGGGGAGCAAACA